GUGGUGGGUAGCUCAGUGGUUAGAGCGCCUAAAUAUCCUUAUUCACUCCUUGCCUGAAGAGGCCGACGAAUUGAGGGUUAUCGCCUGUGAAGCGGGAGGUCGCGGGUUCAAAUCCCGCUCCACUACACCA
RNAcentral lists this transfer RNA (130 nucleotides) under Nostoc sp. C3-bin3. RNAcentral describes it as "tRNA-OTHER". The record is from RNAcentral. Lineage: Bacteria; Bacillati; Cyanobacteriota; Cyanophyceae; Nostocales; Nostocaceae.